CCUACGGGUGGCAGCAGUGGGGAAUAUUGCACAAUGGGGGAAGCCCUGAUGCAGCGACGCCGCGUGAGCGAAGAAGUAUCUCGGUAUGUAAAGCUCUAUCAGCAGGGAAGAAGAUGACGGUACCUGACUAAGAAGCACCGGCUAAAUACGUGCCAGCAGCCGCGGUAAUACGUAUGGUGCAAGCGUUAUCCGGAUUUACUGGGUGUAAAGGGAGCGUAGACGGAGAAGCAAGUCUGGAGUGAAAGCCUGGGGCUCAACCCCGGGACUGCUUUGGAAACUGUUAUUCUUGAGUGCCGGAGAGGUAAGCGGAAUUCCUAGUGUAGCGGUGAAAUGCGUAGAUAUUAGGAGGAACACCAGUGGCGAAGGCGGCUUACUGGACGGUAACUGACGUUGAGGCUCGAAAGCGUGGGGAGCAAACAGGAUUAGAUACCCCUGUAGUC
Molecule: ribosomal RNA, 440 nt
Filed under: uncultured bacterium
Lineage: Bacteria
Description: bacterial SSU rRNA
Rfam family: Bacterial small subunit ribosomal RNA
Source: RNAcentral